GAUCGAGGAUUGCAACGAAUACCCUUUUGGGCUAUCCGCCUGAUCUCUGAUACGUGGCCUUGGUAUCGAAAGCGUGCUUAUGGUAUUAAGGUAUUACGGUCAAAAGGUUAGAACGGAUUACAUUCGUUAAGGAUGUUGACGUA
This 143-nucleotide ribosomal RNA is filed under the name uncultured Glomeromycotina. RNAcentral describes it as "partial 28S ribosomal RNA". Lineage: Eukaryota; Fungi; Glomeromycota. The record is from RNAcentral.